RNAcentral lists this ribosomal RNA (1045 nucleotides) under Enterococcus faecalis. RNAcentral describes it as "bacterial SSU rRNA". It matches the Rfam family "Bacterial small subunit ribosomal RNA", at positions 54 to 1127 of the family's 1533-position model. The record is from RNAcentral. Lineage: Bacteria; Bacillati; Bacillota; Bacilli; Lactobacillales; Enterococcaceae.
CUUACUGCUCGAACGCUUCUUUCCUCCCGAGUGCUUGCACUCAAUUGGAAAGAGGAGUGGCGGACGGGUGAGUAACACGUGGGUAACCUACCCAUCAGAGGGGGAUAACACUUGGAAACAGGUGCUAAUACCGCAUAACAGUUUAUGCCGCAUGGCAUAAGAGUGAAAGGCGCUUUCGGGUGUCGCUGAUGGAUGGACCCGCGGUGCAUUAGCUAGUUGGUGAGGUAACGGCUCACCAAGGCCACGAUGCAUAGCCGACCUGAGAGGGUGAUCGGCCACACUGGGACUGAGACACGGCCCAGACUCCUACGGGAGGCAGCAGUAGGGAAUCUUCGGCAAUGGACGGAAGUCUGACCGAGCAACGCCGCGUGAGUGAAGAAGGUUUUCGGAUCGUAAAACUCUGUUGUUAGAGAAGAACAAGGACGUUAGUAACUGAACGUCCCCUGACGGUAUCUAACCAGAAAGCCACGGCUAACUACGUGCCAGCAGCCGCGGUAAUACGUAGGUGGCAAGCGUUGUCCGGAUUUAUUGGGCGUAAAGCGAGCGCAGGCGGUUUCUUAAGUCUGAUGUGAAAGCCCCCGGCUCAACCGGGGAGGGUCAUUGGAAACUGGGAGACUUGAGUGCAGAAGAGGAGAGUGGAAUUCCAUGUGUAGCGGUGAAAUGCGUAGAUAUAUGGAGGAACACCAGUGGCGAAGGCGGCUCUCUGGUCUGUAACUGACGCUGAGGCUCGAAAGCGUGGGGAGCAAACAGGAUUAGAUACCUGGUAGUCCACGCCGUAAACGAUGAGUGCUAAGUGUUGGAGGGUUUCCGCCCUUCAGUGCUGCAGCAAACGCAUUAAGCACUCCGCCUGGGGAGUACGACCGCAGGUUGAAACUCAAAGGAAUUGACGGGGGCCCGCACAAGCGGUGGAGCAUGGUUAAUUCGAAGCAACGCGAAAACUUACCAGGCUUGACAUCCUUGACCACCUAAAUAGCUUUCCCUUCGGGGAAGGAGGGGGCAUGGUCUCAGCUCAGUCCCACACUUGUAGCUCAUUUGGCAACAAAAA